Molecule: ribosomal RNA, 1441 nt
Filed under: uncultured organism
Description: SSU rRNA
Rfam family: Bacterial small subunit ribosomal RNA
Source: RNAcentral
CGCUAGCUACAGGCUUAACACAUGCAAGUCGAGGGGCAGCAUCAUCAAAGCUUGCUUUGAUGGAUGGCGACCGGCGCACGGGUGAGUAACACGUAUCCAACCUGCCGACAACACUGGGAUAGCCUUUCGAAAGAAAGAUUAAUACCGGAUGGCAUAAUUAUUCCGCAUGGGAUAAUUAUUAAAGAAUUUCGGUUGUCGAUGGGGAUGCGUUCCAUUAGGCAGUUGGCGGGGUAACGGCCCACCAAACCUACGAUGGAUAGGGGUUCUGAGAGGAAGGUCCCCCACAUUGGAACUGAGACACGGUCCAAACUCCUACGGGAGGCAGCAGUGAGGAAUAUUGGUCAAUGGACGAGAGUCUGAACCAGCCAAGUAGCGUGAAGGAUGACUGCCCUAUGGGUUGUAAACUUCUUUUAUACGGGAAUAAAGUGAGCCACGUGUGGCUUUUUGUAUGUACCGUAUGAAUAAGGAUCGGCUAACUCCGUGCCAGCAGCCGCGGUAAUACGGAGGAUCCGAGCGUUAUCCGGAUUUAUUGGGUUUAAAGGGAGCGUAGGCGGGUUGUUAAGUCAGUUGUGAAAGUUUGCGGCUCAACCGUAAAAUUGCAGUUGAUACUGGCGACCUUGAGUGCAACAGAGGUAGGCGGAAUUCGUGGUGUAGCGGUGAAAUGCUUAGAUAUCACGAAGAACUCCGAUUGCGAAGGCAGCUUACUGGAUUGUAACUGACGCUGAUGCUCGAAAGUGUGGGUAUCAAACAGGAUUAGAUACCCUGGUAGUCCACACAGUAAACGAUGAAUACUCGCUGUUGGCGAUAUACAGUCAGCGGCCAAGCGAAAGCAUUAAGUAUUCCACCUGGGGAGUACGCCGGCAACGGUGAAACUCAAAGGAAUUGACGGGGGCCCGCACAAGCGGAGGAACAUGUGGUUUAAUUCGAUGAUACGCGAGGAACCUUACCCGGGCUUAAAUUGCAACUGACGGAACCGGAAACGGUUCUUUCUUCGGACAGUUGUGAAGGUGCUGCAUGGUUGUCGUCAGCUCGUGCCGUGAGGUGUCGGCUUAAGUGCCAUAACGAGCGCAACCCUUACGGGUAGUUACCAUCAGGUUAUGCUGGGGACUCUACCCGGACUGCCGUCGUAAGAUGUGAGGAAGGUGGGGAUGACGUCAAAUCAGCACGGCCCUUACGUCCGGGGCUAUACACGUGUUACAAUGGGGGGUACAGAAGGCAGCUACACGGCGACGUGGUGCUAAUCCCAAAAGCCUCUCUCAGUUCGGACUGGAGUCUGCAACCCGACUCCAUGAAGCUGGAUUCGCUAGUAAUCGCGCAUCAGCCACGGCGCGGUGAAUACGUUCCCGGGCCUUGUACACACCGCCCAUCAAGCCAUGAAAGCCGGGGGUACCUGAAGUACGUAACCGCGAGGAGCGUCCUAGGGUAAAACUGGUGAUUGGGG